RNAcentral lists this long non-coding RNA (2627 nucleotides) under Olea europaea (common olive). RNAcentral's name for it is "long non-coding RNA (OEUR_LNC006632)". The record is from RNAcentral. Lineage: Eukaryota; Viridiplantae; Streptophyta; Magnoliopsida; Lamiales; Oleaceae.
AUGCAGUCGUUCACAUUAGCUUUCAAUGCAGCCACAACAAAUUGUUACUUCUUUAGCAUUUCGUAAUCGAUUAAAACCAGAAUUUAAGUCUUGUUGAGUCCUCUAGUGAAUCCUCCAUUGCUUAAGAAAAAGUGAAGAAUAGUAGCUUUGGUAUAGUGCUUACUGCUUAGAAAUUUGAUGCUGAUGAUAGUCAAAAGAAACGGUUAUCUUGACUUGAAAACUUAAUAGCUUGAUGACUCCAUUAUUUCAGGUAAAGGUGAAGUGUACACAUGGGGUUGGAAGGAGUGUGUUCCACCUGGAAAAGUUACUUGUAGUUGGACAAGUAUGAAAACCUUUGAAAGGAACAGGUCUGCAAAACAAAGUUCUACACUGACUGAGCAAGGUAUCUUAGAAAGAGUAUAUCUUAUGAGGCCUACCUUCGGCUAGAAGUGUGCAUACAAAUAUAUCGGGUACUGGACGCUAACACCUGACAUUGUUUGUAAUAGGGAGCCCACAGUCUCAAGGUCCAAAACCUUCUGUCGGAUCACUUUCUUGUUCAGAUGAUAAAAACAUUGAAGAUGAAAGUAUAAAGAGAAGAAAGGUAUCAACUCAAGAAGAAUCUGAAAUAUCAAUCCCUGCUGAAGAAACACUUUCAGCGCCACCUUGUCUUGUAAUGCUGGAUCCCCUGGUGAAAAUUACAUCUGUUGCUGCUGGUGGGCGACAUACGUUGGCAUUGUCAGGUAAAUCAACUCCUUCCUGUGUGCUGCAGUGCACCAAAUUAACAUUUUAGGCUAGGUGCUACUUCUUUGUGGUUACAAAUUAUAGUUUUGUAGGUCAUAUGAAGUAUGAAGCUAUGAAGAUCUUUAAUGUAAAGCAAGAGGUCUUAAAUGUAAAGCAAGAUACCUGAUUCAUCAUAUUUUUACCGGAUUUAGAUGUAGGACAGGUAUGGGGUUGGGGCUAUGGAGGUGACGGGCAGCUAGGUUUGGGCAACCGGGUAAAAACAGUGGCUUCUCCUCAUCUCAUUCCGUGUAUUGAUCCAUCUUCAUGCAUAAAAGACAAACCUGAUGUGGUUCAUCAAGAAAGUGAGAGUGCAGCAGCUCAGUCUCAUAAUUCUGUAGGGAAUUACAUAAGGGCCGUUGCUUGUGGAGGCAGGCACAGUGCAGUAAUAACAGGUGAGUCAUGAAGAAUUGUUAUGUGGUAAUAUUGCUUUGUAGCAAUUUUAGCCCAUUUCUUUUGUAAGGUCUUUCUUUUUUUGGUUAUCAGAUGCUGGUGUGCUGAUUGCUUUUGGCUGGGGUUUAUAUGGACAGGUGAUUUCCUUAUUGUACUGCAUUUUUUAUCCCCAAGUAUUUGCCUUCUCAUGUAGCUAGAAAAUUCAUUCCGCAUAUUUCUUGCUUCAUCUCUAAUGGGUUCCGAUUUAAUAUUUCCUAAACAUCUGACAUGUAGUAAGACUCAAAAUGGUAUUAUCUAGGGGAUCCUUGCAGUAGUAAUUUUAGAAUCAUAUGUCAAAAUUAUGUAAGUAACUUUUGGAAUGUGUUGAACGCUGUAAUAUUAGCACGUUUUUGGGCAGUAAACGUAAUCUGAAGCCAUGGGUUCAAUUAUUUAAAAUCAUUUUCGUAGCUAUACUGAAAACAAUAAUAAAAAUUCUAUGAUGAACACAGCAUAAACUUUCAUAGGUUCGGUCUGUUGCUUUAUUAUGGUUAGGGUGCGGAAAUCAAGUUGGUUUUGAGUGUGUUCUCAAAUUUGUUCAUGGAUGUUAGAUUUCCUAAUAAAUUGAAGACAGACCACAAACUACAUUCGCAUGACAUUAUUUUAUGCAGUGUGGACAAGGAAAUAGAGAAGACCUGCUGAGACCAACUUGUGUGACUUCUCUAUCGGGGACUCAGAUUGAAACAGUUGCAGCUGGGUUGUGGCAUACUAUAUGCAUCUGCAAAGAUGGUUGUGUCUAUGCUUUUGGUGGAAAUCAGUUUGGGCAAUUGGGUUUGGGAACAAAUUCUGAUCAAUGUGAGGUAUAUUCUCUGCUUAUUGUCUGAUGUACUGGAUCUGAACCUGAUACAAAUGCACUGUCUGUUCUUUUCUAUAGACUUCAUCAGAAACCAUGAGUAUGAUGUACUACUCAUUUUAGCAGUAGUGCUCUGCAACAAGGAUUAGCAGGUCCCAAACUACUCAAAGUAAUCCACUCUUACAUCAGUUGCAGCUUCAACAGCCUUCUAAAAUGUUGGUUUCUAGAAAUUGAAUCCCUUCUUUUUAAGUCUUGUUGAGUCCUCUAGUGAAUCCUCCAUUGCUUAAGAAAAAGUGAAGAAUAGUAGCUUUGGUAUAGUGCUUACUGCUUAGAAAUUUGAUGCUGAUGAUAGUCAAAAGAAACGGUUAUCUUGACUUGAAAACUUAAUAGCUUGAUGACUCCAUUAUUUCAGGUAAAGGUGAAGUGUACACAUGGGGUUGGAAGGAGUGUGUUCCACCUGGAAAAGUUACUUGUAGUUGGACAAGUAUGAAAACCUUUGAAAGGAACAGGUCUGCAAAACAAAGUUCUACACUGACUGAGCAAGGUAUCUUAGAAAGAGUAUAUCUUAUGAGGCCUACCUUCGGCUAGAAGUGUGCAUACAAAUAUAUCGGGUACUGGACGCUAACACCUGAUAUUGUUUGUAAUAGGG